RNAcentral lists this ribosomal RNA (197 nucleotides) under uncultured bacterium. RNAcentral describes it as "partial 16S ribosomal RNA". It matches the Rfam family "Bacterial small subunit ribosomal RNA", at positions 521 to 717 of the family's 1533-position model. The record is from RNAcentral.
UAAUACGUAGGCAGCAAGCGUUGUUCGGAGUUACUGGGCGUAAAGAGUGCGUAGGCGGUUCUCUAAGUUCGGUGUGAAAUCUCCCGGCUCAACUGGGAGGGUGCGCCGAAGACUGGAGAGCUUGAGUGUGGGAGAGGAAAGCGGAAUUCCUGGUGUAGCGGUGAAAUGCGUAGAUAUCAGGAGGAACACCUGCGGUG